GGSGGAAGCCUGACGGAGCAACGCCGCGUGAGUGAUGAAGGUCUUCGGAUCGUAAAACUCUGUUAUYMGGGAAGAACAAAUGUGUAAGUAACUAUGCACGUCUUGACGGUACCUAAUCAGAAAGCCACGGCUAACUACGUGCCAGCAGCCGCGGUAAUACGUAGGUGGCAAGCGUUAUCCGGAAUUAUUGGGCGUAAAGCGCGCGUAGGCGGUUUUUUAAGUCUGAUGUGAAAGCCCACGGCUCAACCGUGGAGGGUCAUUGGAAACUGGAAAACUUGAGUGCAGAAGAGGAAAGUGGAAUUCCAUGUGUAGCGGUGAAAUGCGCAGAGAUAUGGAGGAACACCAGUGGCGAAGGCGACUUUCUGGUCUGUAACUGACGCUGAUGUGCGAAAGCGUGGGGAUCAAACAGGAUUAGAUACCCUGGUAGUCCACGCCGUAAACGAUGAGUGCUAAGUGUUAGGGGGUUUCCGCCCCUUAGUGCUGCAGCUAACGCAUUAAGCACUCCGCCUGGGGAGUACGACCGCAAGGUUGAAACUCAAAGGAAUUGACGGCGGGCGGGGGCGGCGGGACGGGCGCGGGGCGCGGCGGGCGA
This 592-nucleotide ribosomal RNA is filed under the name Staphylococcus sp. Its description in RNAcentral is "bacterial SSU rRNA". The record is from RNAcentral. Lineage: Bacteria; Bacillati; Bacillota; Bacilli; Caryophanales; Staphylococcaceae.